UAACUUUGCCAAAGAUCUCUGACAAAGUUUAGACACAUAAAUUUUGAAGGUCCAGCUACCCUACUAUUACUUACAAGGGUAAAGGAACAGCACCACUGCUUGAUAACUAGAAAGUCCCAAUGUGUGUCAACCUCUGUGCUCCGUGGCAAGGCAAACUGGCAAAAAUGCCCAACCUUUACUCACAUUCGAGAAAACACUCUCAACAAGAUUGCUUGCUUAAAAAUCGAAGAGGAACCACUCUCUGAAUCUCGAGAGCCAGACUCCCAACAUGAUUACUUUCUAAAAAAUCAAAGGGACACGGCUUUCCGAAUCUCAAGAGUCAGACUCCCAACAGGAUUGCUUUCUCAAAAAUCGAAGAGGCACCGUUCUUUGAAUCUCAAGAGCCAGAUCCCUGACAGGAUUGCUUGUUCGAAAACCGAAGAAGCACCGCUCUCUGAACUUCAAGAGCCAGAUUUCCUUGGAUAAAGCUUGUCUGCAAUCUUCACACGCACCAUCAGCUUUCCAGAUGCCACAGACCAUUUUUUCAAAGCACUCUGACAAAGUUAAAACAUGUGAAACUUGCAGCUCCCACUACAUUGCUAUGACCAAUAAGGGUAAAGGAAUAUCAUUAUUACUUGCUCAAAAAUCGAAGAGGCACCGCCUCCGAAUCUCGAGAGCCAUACUCCCAACAGGAUUACUUUCUCAAAAAUCGAAGAGGCACCGCUCUCCGAAUCUUAAGAGCCAGACUCUCAAUAGGAUUGCUUUCUCAAAAAUUGAAGAUGCACCGCUCUCCGAAUCUCGAGAGCCAGAUCCCCAACAGGAUUGCUUGUUUGAAAACCGAAGAGGCAUCGUUAUUUGAACUUUGAUAGCCAGAUUUCCUUGGAUAAAGCUUGUCUGCAAUCUUCACACGCAACAUCAGUUUUCCAGAUACCACAUACCACUUUUUCAAAGUGUUCUGACAAAGUUAAAACACGUGAAGCUUGCAGCUCCAACUACAUUGCUACGACCAAGAAGGGUAAAGGAAUAGCACUACUACUUGUUGUUAGGAAUACUCCUAUAUAUGUCGACCUCUAUCCUCCACAGCCAGGCAAACCUGCAAAUAAAAAAAAUGCUCAACUUUUCUUCACAUCCGAGAGGGCACUUUCAGCAGAGUCUCUCGAAAUACUCAGCUUCUUUUUCUCCCGAUAAUACCUCUACAAACAAGCCACACCAGAGCAAGAGUAUCUCAUAUCAUCAGGGUUAAAAGCAAGAGUAUCUCAUAUCAUGCUUUUUCCUUAUCUUUUCCUUUGGCCUUGUUCUUACUUGCAAGACAAGGAGAAAGGGAGCAGUCAGUCAGCACUUGGAAUCAAGCUUCUAGUCAGGAACUGACUGCUUGGAACCCCUUGCCUGAUUACUUACCUGACAUUGCUCUCGAGUACUCAUCUUCAACAUCUUAUGCUUUCAGAGAAGAUACCACAUCUGCCUGAGGAACAGAUAGAGCAAGUGAGAAGGAUACAAGGAAGCAUGUGGAGAUAAGCAUAACAGAACACGUGCUGAUACAUCCACUACUUUGUCAACAUCAAAAGUAUCCCAUAUCAUCAGGGUCGAAUGUACUCUAGAUUUGAUGGACUUGUUUUGACCCUCAAAUUCUUAAGUCGGCCUUAUACUCUGGAGGGAACCAGAAAACCCUCCAGCCCAGUUCAAGAAUAAGCCUGUGGAAAGUUACUUCUUCAAAAGCAAAAGUAUCUCAUAUCAUCUCUUCUCCAUUUGCUUCUCCUUAUCCUUGGUGCUAUUUACGACACAAGGAGAAAGAGAACAAUCAACCGGAAGCCGAAGUCGAACCUCCAAUCCAGGUUGCUUGCUUGGAAGUCUGAUUGCUUACCUUGUCUGUUACCUCAUUCGAAAAAUCUCCUAACUCGGUGACUUGGGGGACUCCUACUAUAGGGUUUGUAUUGCACUUGACCAAGCCCGAAACUACAAGUAAGCUUCAAGUGAAAUUGAUACAUUACCUUGUGCAUCUUCAUCGGUUAAAGAUACCACCCCUAGAUGGAGGAAAAAUACUUCCAGAGAAGAUGCCACAUCUACAUAUGAAACAGAUAAGGCAAGUGAAAAUGAUACCAUACUUCAGUACUUAGAAGUUUCGUGAUUACUCAAUGGCUUUGAUCUUGCAAGUCCCCAACCGAGGAGCUUCCCUCACUCGGGAACUUAGGGGAGCACUGUUUGUACCAUACUUAACCAAUCCCGAAACUACUGAGCACCGGUCAACGUUAUACCAUCGAGGACCUAGAAGAGUUUCCCUCUAACCAGGAGGCCAAUCAUAGCACAACACAUGUCGACAUCAGAAGCCAAUCAUAGCGCGACACGUGUCAACAUCAGAAGCUAAUCACAACACGACACGUGUUAAUGUCAGAAUGAAACUAAAAACUCUCUUCUAUAAAUAGAAAUCAUUCUCUCACAAUAUUUCCUAAUGUCAUUUGUACUAAAUCAUUCACUUGUACUCACUAAAUGAGAGCUUGAACCUAUGUACUUGUGUAAACCCUUCACAAUUAAUGAGAACUCCUCUACUCCGUGGACGUAGCCAAUCUGGGUGAACCACGUACAUCUUGUGUUUGCUUCCCUGUCUCUAUCCAUUUACAUACUUAUCCACACUAGUGACCGGAGCAAUCUAGCAAAGGUUACAAACUUAAUAUUUUCUGUUGUACCAAAGUCCUCGCUGAUUUUGUGCAUCAACAUAAGGUAUUUGGACCUAUCAUUCCUACACUACCACGCGUGAAGCCCUUUGGCUACAAGUGGGUUUUCGUGAGGAAGCGUAAUGAGAAGAAUGAAAUAGUGCGAUACAAAGCACACCUCGUAGCGCAAGGCUUCUCUUAGCACCCAGAGAUUGCUUACGAGGAGACGUAUUCCCCCGUAAUGGACGUUAUAACGUUUCGCUACCUAAUCAGUUUGGUAGUUUCCAAAAAACUGAAUAUGCAGCUUAUGAACGUGUUAAUCGUGUAUCUCUAUAGGGAUCUAGAUACGAAAAUUUAUAUGAAAGUUCCAGAAAGACUUCUAUUGACUGGCUUAAAUAGUUCUAGACCACGGAACACUCUUUCAAUUAGGUUGAGGAGGUCACUCUACAGAUUAAAACAAUCCGGGGGGAUGUGGUAUAACCGUAUGAGUGAAUAUUUGACAAGUCAGGAUUAUGUGAACAACGAACUAUGCCUAUGCGUGUUCAUAAAGAAGUCACAUUCUAGAUUUGCAAUCGUUGCAGUUUAUGUCGAUGACAUGAACCUCAUUGGGACUCCCGCAAAGCUUGAGGAAAUUGCUACACACUUGAAAUCGAAAUUUGAGAUGAAGGAUCUUGGGAAAACUCGAUACUGUAUCGACCUCGAAAUCGAGCAUUGUUCAGAUGGAAUCUUAGCACAUCAAUCGAACUACACCCAAAAGGUGUUACGACGUUUUAAUAAGGAUAAAACGAAGCCUUCGAGUACACCCAUGGUCGUUCGGACUCUAGAUGCUAAACGAGAUCCCUUUCGUCCAAAGGAGGAUGAGGAAGAGAUUUUGGAACCCGAAGUUCCUUACCUAAGUGCAAUUGGGGCUUUAUUGUACUUAGCUCAGUGCACUAGACUUGACAUUUCAUUCGCUGUGAAUCUAUUGGCUAGAUACAGCAAUGCGCCCACACGCAGGCACUGGAAUGGUGUUAAAGACAUUUUCCGCUACCUCAAAGGUACUACGAAUUUGGGCUUGUUCUAUACCCGUGAAUCUCCAAGUGUUGCCGCCCCCUAUGACCCUCUGAUUGAUUCUCGCCUUGUUGGUUAUGCAGAUGCUGGAUAUCUGUCUGACCCACAUAGAGCACGUUCUUAAACGGGUUAUGUCUUUACCGUUGAAGACACCGCUAUAUCUUGGAGGUCUACCAAGCAAACGCUAGUUGCGACUUCGUCUAACUAUGCUGAGAUUAUCGCCCUAUAUGAAGCAUCACGUGAGUGCUUUUGGUUGAGAGAAGUUAUGGAACAUAUUCGAAGCACUAGUGGUCUUACAUCAGUCGUUGACCUUCCUACGACGAUCUUUGAAGACAAUGCAGCAUGUAUCGAGCAGCUGAAGAAGGGAUACAUCAAGAAAGACAACACCAAGCAUAUAGCACCAAAAUUCUUUUACUCAUACCAGCAGCAGCAGCAUCAGAACAUUGAAGUCAAACAAAUCCAUUCCCAGGACAACCCAGCCGAUCUUUACCAAGUCAUUGCCCAAGUCUACAUUUCAGAAGCUCGUCCAAGGAAUCGGUAUGCGUAAAUUAUCUGAGUUGAAUCGCUUGUAGUUCUCUUAUUUAGAAGUUAUGUCUAACUCAGAGGGAGUAUAUAGAAGCAUACUCAUAUGAUCUUAAUGUACUAUUUUUCCUACGAUUAAGAGCAUUUUUGCCACUGAAUUUUUGCUACCUAACAAGGUUUUAAUGAGUCACCCAUCCUGGGAUGAUCAACUCCGAUGAGUUCACUACCUUCGUCCAGUUUGACGAGUGUUUUAGACAUUAUGCAUAUUUUCUUACUUUUCUCCUUAGUCUAUGGGUUUUCCCCAUCCCUUGGGUUUUACCAUAGCAAGGUUUUUGUGAGUUUUUACAAAUGCAUACUUCAAAGUAAAUUUGAGACUCGCGAUCAUCCGUUGUGCCGAUGACUUCAUCAACUAUUAUACCUUAUCUGCUGAAGAUCUGAUACGACAGUUUGUUGAGUAUUUACACACUCAAAGGGGAGUGUUGCAGUCAUAUUUAGAAUAUGAAUGUGAUUGUGUAAAUGCUAGGGAAUCUGGGAAUGUAUCUUAUAUUCCUAUUAGGAUUUAGAUUACCUAUUAAAUGUUGUAAUCCUAAAGGGAAAGGUUUUACCCUUCCUACUACUAUAAAUAAAGUCACAAUGGGGCGAAUCAAACACACAUCACAAUUAAAUCAAUUUCUCUUCUCCCUAAAGCUCGCCGCACCCUUCUCUCUCUCUAACCCUAGAUCGCUUAAUCAAAUAGACCUACAACAGACAGUUCUUCUUUUAAGAGGCCAUAUACAUUUGCUCCAGCAUAUAAUUUGAAAUUAAGUGGUCCGUUUCUCUAUAAUUAGUCCACAUGUGCACUGUCCACACACGUGUAUUUGUCAUCACAAUAAAGCUAAAGUAUACCAAUUUGUCUCUAGCUAGCUUAGCACAAAGAUUAGUAGGAUUUUAUACUUGUUUAUUCAAAGUACCAAAUUUCACAUGUCCCCCUUCGUUUCUUAAUUAUUUGUUUAAUUAUGCUAAUUAAGGUUUUGGGUCCAAGAACCAACCCGAUCGCCGGUCCACCCGAGAAGGGUCCCCAAUCUUUACUGCAUAUCUUCCAAAGUAGUCACCACUCUUUUCGUUUUUUAUCAAAUCGUAUCUUUCUGUCUCAUAUUUUACAAAUAUUUGAAGCCAUUUGUUAAGUUGGAAUCCUAAAUAUAAAAUAUAAUAAAAUACAAAUUGUUAGAAAAGUAAUGAUAAUUUCAAGUUAAUUUUGCUUACUUAGUGAUGUGUUAGCUUAAGCAUUGAUUCAUUUCAUCUGGCCUUUAUAUAUAUGCUUGUAAAGUUUAAAGAUCGAUGGUAGGGUUCCUCGAAAGAAUUGGUAGAGAGUACAUUGAACAUGGGAUCCAAUUUCUAUAAGAAUAUUGGGAUGGCUUUAAGCUACAUUUGUUAUCAUUUUGAUGUGCAGGGUGCAAGUUAAUGAUUUUAUAAGAUCACCUAGUGUGUAUACAUGUGAUUCUAACACAAUUUUAGUAUUAUUCUAUGCCUGCAUUGAGAUAAGUAUUGCAGAAACGGAUCAAAUUCCGACAAAGAUAUUACUAAAACACUAUAAAUUUGCUUCAAGUCCAUAUUUAAUUUUUGUAAUGCAUUCCUAAAAAAUUUAAAUUAAAUUUCAUAAAACGUUAAAAUAUCUCUUAUAAGCGCACUCUAAAAUAUAUAUUAAAAGCAUACAUUAUAUUGAAGAAUCAUUUUUAACACUUUAGAAAGCCACACACACACACACAUAUAUAUAUAUAUAUUCAUGAAUUGUAAAAUAUAAGGGAAAAAAUUGCAUUUUGAUAAAUGAAAUAUGACCGUCUUAAAGUGUCAAUAAUAUCUUCUUUCUAUUGGAUUUUUUUAGGUUGUAGAUUGUAAAAACACACAUACUAUGUGUUUUAAGUGUAAUUCUUUCGAAGGUUGUGCUAUUCACACAUUUCUUUUUAUUUUUCACAUACAUGUUAUUUUUGUUCAUUGAUAUUCUUCAAUUAAUUUGAUCCGACGGUCAAAAAUUAAGAAAAAUGUAUGAAAAGUAAAAAUAAUUGUGUGGAAAGCAUCACCGUUAUUUGAACGGUUCACAAUUUUCAUCAAAAGAUGUACAGCGAUUUGUUCAGUUUCUUGUGCAAACUUUUCUACCUUUAAUCGUAGAACAACAUUAUCUGUCAUAUAUGCAACGAAAAGCUUUAUAUGUACAACUUUUUAUGCUCUUUAAAUUUAUUUUGGGCAAAGUUAAUUGUAGUGGUUGCAUUAUUUCGAUGAUCACGAACAAAAAUAAUUGAAGGAGAUUGUAGGACUAUCGUGCUUUCUGAGCCGUCUGAUAGCACUACAUCAUGGCUCUUCAUGUGCCACACAACCCUACACUCCAUAUCUGAAUCCUCUUCAGAACAGAAGCAUCAUUGCAACACCAUGAUCAACCUCCUCACCAAAUUGAUAUCGAAAGAGUCGAGCACUGAAAUACGGACCUUGAAAGUAAGACAAAUGAUCUUAACCGCUUGAGUUAUAAGUAGAUUGCCUCGUUAAUUGUUAAGGGUUAUUUAAUAAUCAUUUUUCCUUCAAAAAAAAAUAAAGUCAUUUUGUUUUGAACGAAACUGUUGAUAUACAACGGUAGAAGAGGAGACCUCAUGGGAAGGCUUAUGAGGACGACUGCAUGAUAGUCCUACUCACUGGAAACUAGCGCGAAAGCGAGGGACCGACUUUCUCAGAAAGGGAGACGCUCCUCCUGAAGUGGCCGUUGGUGGAAAUUGGAAUACCGUUAUGGUCGGCUGCCGUUGGACACGUGUUGACAUCGCCUCGAUCAGCAACCACAUCUUCUUACCGCGCUUUGACGCGAGUUUGUCGGAGAAAAGCGGCAUUUCUUGGAAGCCUUAAUUUGGGAACACAUGGUUCUUUCAAUGCUCACGACUCAUGAGAUGAUGAUAAGUUUAGGGCUUGAUUAAUUCUUUAGAGCAAGUCCACCGGUGGUGGAUUAGGCCAGCACUCAGCACAAAAAACAGGCUGGAACCCUGUCCAUUCACCCCAGCCCACAAAACAGCCUGGCACCUAGCCCAAGUUGGUUAGAUUUUUUUUUUUAAAAAAAUACAGUAAAAUUUUAAAAAAGUUAUUAUUUUUUCUAUAAAUACCUAACCCUCAUCUUCCACCUUACACCACAUUUCAAUAUUUUCUACACCUUCUACCAAAGCUUUCAUAUACUUUUUGUGUGAAAAAAAAAUACCAAAAAGCUCAUCCUUAAUUUAUUUGAUGAGUUUAUGUAAUUUUAUUUUAGUGUGUUUUUUUUAAGCUUAUUUGAUGAGUAUGUAAUUUUAUUUUAGUGUGUAUUUUUUUUAAGUUUAUUUGAAAUUUUAUCCGAAAUUGGUUAAAAAUCUUAUCCGAAAUAAACUUAAAAAAAAAACACACCAAAUAAAUGCGUUGGGUGCCAACGUAUUUUUUUAGGGGUGGAGAUGCCUUGGCCUAUUACUGUUCACUCCAGUCUAUUACUGUUCACUUGAGUGGAUAAAUAUGCUAGGUGCUGGUGCAAAGUCCUUAGGGGUGAACUUGCUCUUAAGCCUUACAAAAUAGUACAAUAAAAUUAUUUGAUCACGAAAUAUUGACAUACUUAUUGACACACUAUAUAAGAGGUGGGUCAUACUAUUGUAUAUUGUCUCUAUUUGUAUUAUAAAGCGUGUAAAAAAUGUCUGUUUUGUGUUUUCAAAUAACAUCACCCGGAAAUAUAUUAAGACAUUUUGUUAAGUUCUUGGCUUAAAGUGUGGAUAUCAUAAAUUUAAUCAUUGAUAGAUAGCAAGACUGAUACACAUCCUUCUGCUCAUGAUAACAAAAUGAGACAAGGACAAAAAGCAAAUGCGCUUGACAUGAAAUUUUUUAGCAGGGCUACAUAUACUAGAAGAUAUGAAUAUUUGGGCCAAUUCACGUUAAGAAAAUGACUUGUUAUUUUUUAUACAAAAGUAUAUAUUCAUAAUAAGAGAGCCAGAAGAUUAAAUAUUAAUAUUAAAUUUGUCAUUUACGAAAUUUGAUUGAAUUGUACUAAGAUAAAAGCCCACAAAAAUAUUUGGGCCAGUGAUGAAAUUUUACGAGCCCGUGGCUUUCAACUCCAAUGCCAAGAUUGCAAUUUGCAGUCCGUAACUGCCCCCCCCCCCCCCUCCUUUUACCCGCCAAAACCCCAUAUUCUUCCUCUAUCAAUCAGUCCAAACGACCAACAACCAUGGCGAUCAAGCUUCUUGUUGCUUUGCUCUGCGUUCUCUUCUCCACCGCCGCUACACAACCGUGUUAUCCUCCGUAUCCCCAAGAGCUCAUCAAUUCAAUGGGACCCACUCUCUCACCUUCUUCUUCUUCAUUCCCUCCGACCCCAACAGCCUCAAUCGAGUCAAACCCAACGACUCCCGUCGUCCCGGCGCUCUUUGUCAUCGGAGACUCACUGUGGCACCAACAACUUCCUCGGAACCUUCGCCCGUGCCGACCGCCUCCCCUACGGGCGAGACUUCGAUACCCACCAACCCGCCGGGAGGUUCUGCAAUGGCAGAAUCCCUGUCGAUUAUCAUGGUAAUGUUGCUUCUUUAACCAUUUUCUUGCUUAAAUUCUAGUUUUUUUCAUCUGUUUUUUUUCUUUCUAAAUUCUUGAUUCAUUUAAUUGUAUUUUUCUUCUAAGAAAUGCAGAGGCUGCGAGGAGUUUUUUUGUUGUACUUUAGCCUGUUAUCUCAACAACUUAUAAACUCACAGUUGAACAAUUUAAAAUACAAGAAAUAAAGACACCAAGAGAAUUACGAGGUUCGGCAAAAACCUGCCUACGUCCCCGGAGAGAUAUUGCUCUUCACUAUGAGAAUAACUAGUACAAAAUAUACAUGAGUUAAAUUGACAUAACCCAAACCCCAAUCUCUUUUACACUCACAUAAUUUUUCCAAGAGCCUCACUCUCCCCAAGAGUUUCUCACUCUCACUCUAUUUUCUUUUCCCUCUGUGUUUCCGGAUGCACUCCUACUUUUUUUUCACACUCGGAAAGCAUUCCUUUUAUAUCCAAUGCAAGCAAUUCCUUGCAUUUAAAUAAAAGCCAUCAUUUUCAUCCCCCAGCUAUUACGGCUUCCAUGAUGAUUAUGUCUCCAAAGUAAAAAGCAAACCUUGCUUUUCCUUUAUCAUUCCACACGCCACCUUCACGUGAAGAAUGCAAAUGAAAACAUAAAGUAGACCUUUUUCAUGCAUAGAAAGCAUACAUAUUUACGUGCAAACAAACACAAAUACAACACUUUGCUACAGCCAUUUCCUUAUAGCACAUAAAGCUAAACUAUCAAAAUUGUUGCCAACUCAAACUAUGAGCCAAUCACAACAAUCUCCACCUUGGCGAAUACACCAUGCAAAAAUCAUUGCACCCAUCACCAAAGCUCAUUGGCCUUACGUAUCAGCAUACACACCCUGAAUCAACCUCGUUGGUCCUGUUCCGAUUCAGUCACUGCCAAUGCAUGUGCAGCUGCUGCAAGCUAAAAAACACCAUUUAGCUUCAGACAGGAUCUCGACACAUCCUCGUCUCCUCCUGUAGGAUUUUCCCCUCUUUAUUGUCUGCAACUUGGAAACUCGUCAGUGCACCCGUUUUCAGCAACAACCCAUCGAGCCAGACAAAAUUCCCCACACUUCUCUUCCUUCAGGACCAUCUCAUCACCUGUGAAUCCCAUAGCUCCACCUGCUGCAAAUCCCUUGCAACACUCGAGACUAAACAUCACCAAGAGAAGUGUUGCUUCGAGUACCUAGAGGGCAUACUCGAAGUCUUCUGCCACAAAAUUGCUACUACUCGGACCAAGAUCAUCCUUUCUUUCUCAAAGGACAAUUUAUCUUUUUAUGCCCGAAUUCUUUACAGGCGUAGCAUUGUAGACCCUUACCUCCGGAGCUUGAUUUGGACCUACUGUCUCUCUCAAAGCCUCCUUUCAUUUUUCUUCCACCAUUCCCACCUUGAACAGCUAAUGCAGUCUCGUACCCAUCAUCAACAAUGGUCUUCUUCUUUUGAGUAUCAUAAGACACCAAAGAAGCCUGCACCUGCUCCAAACUUACUGUAUCUUUUCCAUGCAGUAAAGUUGUCACAAGAUUCUCAUACGAAUCUGGGAAUGAGGUAAGAAGUAAGAGGGCUUUAUCUUCUUCCUCAACCUUGACAUCAACUUUCCUCAAUUGAUCCAAGUAUCCGUUGAACACAUUCAUGUGGUCCAUGAGAUUCCCACCUUCAUCCAUCUUCAGCUUGUACAGCUUCCGCUUCAGAUGUAACUUGUUGGUCAAACUCUUAGCAAUAUAGAGUUUUUCCAACUUCUCCCAAAGUGCAGGCACAUAAUCUUCAUCCAUAACAUUAUUGAUAAUGUUAUCAGCUAUACAGUGUCGAAUCGUGCUAACACAACGCGCCUCCAGCUCCUCCCACUGGUCAUCUGUCAUUUCUUGAGGCUUCCCCAUCUUUUCCCUUCAAAGCUCUAGCCAAGCCUUGUUGAGUCAAUUCAUCCUUUACUCUCAUCUGCCAAAGAGUAAAACUGCCUUUCCCAUUAAACUUCUCAACUGAAAAUGACAUGUUUGUAGUCAUCAUGGUGAAUAACAAAUCUGGACCUUCGAUGAACCAAAGCUUCCAACAAAGCUCUGAUACCAAUUGUUGUACUUUAGCCUGUUAUCUCACCAACUUAUAAACUCACAGUUGAACAAUUUAAAAUACAAGAAAUAAAGACACCAAGAGAAUUACGAGGUUCGGCAAAAACCUGCCUACGUCCCCGGAGAGAUAUUGCUCUUCACUAUGAGAAUAACUAGUACAAAAUAUACAUGAGUUAAAUUGACAUAACCCAACCCCAAUCUCUUUUACACUCACAGAAUUUUUCCAAGAGCCUCACUCUCCCCAAGAGUUUCUCACUCUCACUCUAUUUUCUUUUCCCUUUGUGUUUUCCGGAUGCACUCCUACUUUUUUUUCACACUCGGAAAGCAUUCCUUUUAUAUCCAAUGCAAGCAAUUCCUUGCAUUUAAAUAAAAGCCAUCAUUUUCAUCCCCCAGCUAUUACGGCUUCCAUGAUGAUUAUGUCUCCAAAGUAAAAAGCAAACCUUGCUUUUCCUUUAUCAUUCCACACGCCACCUUCACGUGAAGAAUGCAAAUGAAAACAUAAAGUAGACAUUUUUCAUGCAUAGAAAGCAUACAUAUUUACGUGCAAACAAACACAAAGACAACACUUUGCUACAGCCAUUUCCUUGUAGCACAUAAAGCUAAACUAUCAAAAUUGUUGCCAACUCAAACUAUGAGCCAAUCACAACAUUUUUGAUUUUCUUGGAACCCCAAAUGGAAGACAUCUAAAAAUUUAGGGAAUUUAACGAAAAACUCUGAUAUUGUUCACUUUAACAAAAAAUCAUAUUUUUACACUAAAAAGUUAAUCCUAAUACUAUUCACUUUACCCUUUAUUUUGUACUUAUUGUUAAAACUCAAAGUUUUCAAGCUAUUUUCAUUGGUUUUCCUAAAAAUUUAAGGAUUUUUGUCCACCAAUUUUCAUUUCGUGAAGGAAUUUUCUGAUGAAAUUUUCUAUCAAGAUUUUCUCUCAUAAGUGUUUUUCUCUCUGGAUUUCUCUUUCUAUCAGCACUCCGUCUCGGGCUUCCUUUCGUACCAAGUUAUCUUGGACAGAACGGAAGAGUGGAAGAGAUGAUUCAAGGAUUGAAUUUUGCGUCUGCCGAUGCAGGAAUUAUAUUCACCAGCGGCUCAGAAUUGGUAGUGCAGCAUACUUCAUUUCCCCCCAAUCAUGCGUUUAUAUGUUUAAUAUAAUCUCUUCAUUUAAUAUGUUUAAUGUAGCAUUUAAGGCUUCUUAAUUCGAGUGUUGAUGUAGUUUUUUCCCGCAGGGUCAACAUGUUUCCUUCAGUCAGCAAGUUCAGCAGUUCACAGACACCUAUCAGCAGUUUAUAAUAAGUUUGGGGGAGCAAGCUACAAUUGAUCUCGUCUCAAAUUCUGUACUUGCCCUGGGGUUUCAAUCAGUUUUUAGCAUCCACAUUGAGGCAGGAAAUUAAUGUGAUCUUUCUAAUCACGCUCAAUUAGUUUCCCAAUUCGGAGUUUUACCGAUUACUCAGAGAUUUCUGUGUAUUUUGAUGGUGCAGAACUUGUACAACAUAAAUGUGAUGAAGGUGGUAGUAAUGGGGCUCGCACCGAUAGGCUGUGCUCCUCACUAUUUAUCUCAGUACGGAGUGAAGGAUGGACAAUGUAUUGAGGAGAUAAACAACAUGGUAAUGGAGUUCAACUUUGUGAUGAGGUAUAUGAUCGAGGAGCUCCGCGAAGAGCUUCCCGCUACCAACAGCAUCUUCUGCGAUGUGUUUGAAGGUUCCAUGGAUAUCAUAAAGAACUUUGUGUGUUACGGUGAGAGGUUUUCUAAACUUGUUAAUUCCUAUCAGUUACCGAAAAAAUUCUUAGCAGGGAGUCUGCAUACUAAUGAUGUGUGAAUUUUAUGAUCUUGUUCAGGUUUCAAUGAAACUACUGAUGCUUGCUGUGGGUUGGGGGAGCACAAGGGUUUUGUUAUGUGUUUAUCACCGGAUAUGGCAUGCAAUGAUGCUUCUAAUCAUGUCUGGUGGGAUCAGUUCCAUCCAACUGAUGCGGUCAAUGCCAUCCUAGCUCAUAAUGUGUGGAAUGGCCUGCACACGAAAAUGUGCUAUCCAAUCAACUUGAGGGAUAUGGUAGUAUCGAGCUCCUAUUGAUUCGAUGGAGAAGCUGCAGCAAUGGCCGUACUCUCUAUAAAACAAAGAUCAAACAGAGAAGCUCCUCGAAAUUUUUGGUACUAUACUUUCUGCAUCAACUGCUUACAACAUUAAAUCGUACAAUUCAGUAUACAAGUGACAUUACUAAAAGUGCAUUGUAUAUGUUUUUCCUUUUGGUAAUGCAAUGGGAUCCGAUUUAGAGGUAGAUGUUAUUGUCGUCUUCAUUGUCUGUUUUCAUCACGAAACUAGGAAAUGAUGUCGUGAUGUCCCUGCAUUGAAUGAAAAAUUCUAUCAGCUUCGACAUAGCGUUUUGAUGGUUGUAAGGUUUUACUUGAAUUGUAAUGAAACAGAAAAUUAGAUAUUGGCAAAGGUGGAAAUACUUGAGGUAUGGAAUUGUCAUGUUCUUCAAUAAGGACGGAUUGCCAUUCACGAGCUCAUUCCACUCUUCAAGAUCAAUCUUUCCGUCUCCCUUUAAGUCUGCUUCCUCAAAUGUCUAUAGAGUUUCAAACCAAAAGAUGAACUUAUUCGAUAACUGAUUACAUGCAGCCUUUUAAAUCUUGCAUGUCUUACCUUAUCAAUUAUCGCUUCAACAAUGUCAUCAGACAGGAUCAAGUCCGACUCUUUCAAAAGCGCGAGAACCAUUUCUUUCACCUUUCAUAACGUACCUCAAACGAUUAGUACUUUAUCUGUAUACAUCUACUAAUUCAAUUAAAUGCUUGGAAGUAAGAUUUGAUACGUCUUCUCAAGGUGUUUGCUUUCAUCAUUUCAUUAAACUUAAUCAUUUUGUUUACCUCUUCGCGUUCGAUGAAGCCUGUCUGCCAUAUAUCAUAUAGCUGAUAUGCAACUGCCAAUCAUAUGCCAACUUUUUUAUGCAAUCUUUCAUACUCAUUGCCACAUGCAUUCAAAUGAAAGAAAGAAAGAACAAAAUCUGCAGGGUUUCUUACAUGCAGCCUUCUCUGCUUGGGGUGCUUCCGGGUGGAACACGCUCAGACAUCGAACAAACUCUUCGAAUCCUAUCACCCCAUCACGUUUCGUGUCAAACAUAUGGAAGACCUAUUAGGUUAAGCAAUGCAAAUAUGAGUUGUCCCAAAAACAAACAGAGUGUUUUCACUGGCAGUAAAAGAUCAGCAUUCCGAAUUUAGAAAAACUGAGGCCACGAAGCUCACCCUAUCUGCAAACAGACUUUGUGUUUUGCUGUUCCUGAACAAUCCGAGCUGAAACUCUUCCUGGACACGACGCGUAAAAUGAUACUGAAUCACCGGAUGAAAAUCUUACAACGAGUAAAUUAACUUAUAGAAGAGAUGAAGCUUAUUACUUUGCUUAUAAGGCCAUCAUCAACUAUAGAACUGCUCAACUUCCUGAACAACUCGUACAAAGAUUUAACCUCAUUUACCUUAACUGCAAAAAACAAAGAAUGUAAAUGUACACAGUAAAUUCCAAUUAACAAGUCAGUUUAAUUAAAUGAAGAAGCUUAAUUACAGCAGGUUUGAGAAGCAAGAACUGCUGCUAAGUUUUCACAUUCAAGUCUCUGCUUCAUGCAAACACAGCCCAUUCUAAACGCUUUACGUGAUCGAAAAACUGUCUUCUGUUGGAAGAGAUUAGUACAGAAUGAUCUUAAAUGUUUUGAAAAAAAUCUAGAGUCGAGAGAGCCUGUGCAAACGCGGACUCUGCACGUUUCUCUGACGGUUCAUGAGCUUGCAACGUGAGAGCUUGUUGGGGAGGGUUUUGUAGUUGUACAAUACAAUGUGCCUUAGAAACGGGUCACAUUAUAUAACCCUAUAAGCGUCACACUUUGCCAGCAAGGAAGCAUGUUUACCCUCACUCUUUGUUUCUAUUGAUUUAUGGGAUGGAAAACUAUAUGGAGUUAGUGCCAGAAACAUGUUUCGAAUUACUCAAGUGACAAAUCUUGUUAACUUUUUUUUUUUUUUUUUUUUAUAGAGGUGGCACGUUACAACUCAUGUAUAAGUUCACAUAUGAAGUUUUCUCAAAACACUAGCAGAACUUACCGUUUGUGCUUAUGCUUCAAAGACUGAAUUCAAAUCUCAUAAACGACAGUUACUGGAUGACCAACGAAAGUCAAAUAUUUUGUAUGGCUUAUGUUGAAACAAGUGUUUGGCGAAUGGUAUGAUGACGACAAUAUAUGGGCAGAUGCUAAUGUGACAAUUAACGAAUAAUUCUGUAACAGUUACAUACGUUAUUGGCGUGGAUUUAUGGAAUAUUAUAUGAAAAAAGAAGGGUAAAUAUAGUGUGAGGGCUUAAAUAUCUGAGCUCACCAAUUAAAUUCUAACUUGUAACUUGUAAACAUUUACACAUGCAUUGAUUGAAGACCAACAAAGAAAUUCCCUAGCAAUGGUCAUUGUUUUCGGAUUUGGAAUUUUGGAAUCUGGUUCUUCUCUUUAACAAGUUCUCUUGGAAAAACAAUCCUUGUACAAUAAAUCUUAGGCUGAUUUUAAGAGACGUGGACGUAAACGUCGACAAUUAGUUUCUGCUGAUUGAUGUGAGUUUCUCGAUAAUUAAUCAUAUCAAAUUAGGUAUCCAGUUCGAGUGUUUUCCUAAAAACAUAAAAUGAUUGAUUGAUAAUAUCUUAGCGAAAUUUGGAAUCUGUUGCAAAGGCAGAGGUGUACCAAAUUCGGCUAUUUUCGACAAUGUUUUCACCUGACAAUUCCUGGCACCCUACAAGAACAAUGGGUUAACGAAGACAGAUCAAUUCCCUUUUGUUCUUGGGUACAAUUCAAUUCCAUUUAAAGAAUGGUUAGACCAAAUGGCCAGGGGGAAAAAUUCUCACUCCGGCUCUAAUCAAGCCUCGGCCAAGGAAGAUUGUUUAUUUGGCCGAAGAAGAAGUUAGGCCACCUAUUCGUUCGGCUGAGACAAAAAAUUUGGUUGGCUUAGAAGAACAUCUUCGAAGUUUAACUCAAAAGAUGAUUUGUCAGAGCAAUGUUUCAAUGACGAAUAGGGCCGAAACACGACCUCCGAUGCAAACACCAUGUCAAUCAAUAUGGUUAUUGGAGAUAAAGCUGAUGUGGAACAAUUCCAUUCAGCUAAACUGUUUGGGUUAAAAGCCAAAUAAUAGCUCAAUGCGUUUGGCGUUCAAGAAUAAAAAGUAUUUGACCAAGUCAAGAAUAUUUGAAGAUGAUUCUUUAUUCAGCCUGAAGCGAGAUUGGAUUGAAAACGUUGCCAUAAAAAGGUCUCGACUGGUGAAAAAGUAUCGUUGGCCUCCUCCUCAUCAUAACCUUUAUUUUCAUUUGCUCAAAAAAUAAUAACUUUUAUUUCCUUUACCAUUCGACUGCACAAACUGAUACUCAAGAAAAUAAGGGAGGCAAAACAGCAUGCUCACCAGUUAAAAAAAGAAAAGAAAUGACUUUAACGAAAAGUUUCCGGGUACUGUUCACUUUAACGAAAACUAUAUUUUUACACUAAAAAGUCAAUCAUGAUACUAUUUACUUUACCCUUUAUUUUGUCCUUAUCGUUAAAACUCAAAGUUUUCAAGUAUUUUUUUAUUAGUUUUCCUUAAAAAUAAAAAAAGAUGCGGUCGAACAAAAGAAAAGGGUUUUUUGUUUGGAGAUGCUGUCUUCAAGAAGAGAUAGUUGACUGCUAACCCAUGAGGUUUUACAUGAAGCAUGCCUACUUUUGGGCUUCGAAAUGUGAGUGAGCCUGUGUGUUAAAUUUUUGGGCCCCAACACACACAAGUCAUCGAGCCUCUCACACCUCUUUGAACUAAAUUAAAUUUUCUAUUGUGGGAACAUAAUUCUUAGUUUAUUUCUUUGACCACACCAAUUGGUGAUAUGUGACCAUACUGACAAAGUUAGUGCAACAUGGAGGAUGGAGGUAGGUAGAGGGCAUGAUGCAAGUCGUGAGAGAGUUUUUGUGUAUGAAAUCGGUCGGCGAACAUGACUCAUAGAUCGAACGUCAGUACUUAAGGAGAGGUUUUCCAAUGUACUCGAAACACAAGUUGAUAUGUGAUGUGUUAUAAUACAAGUGAAAAAACGCUUAUAUUAUGACACAUCGUGUACUGAUUUGUGUUCGUUCUGAGUACAUGAAAAAAUCUCUCAUACCCUUGCAUUCCACUCUCCUUAAUUUUGCCUCCUCUCAAAAGAAAGACUUUUACGGGACAGUUGGGCCGUUGAAUCAUGUGGGCCUAAGAGGUUAAUAAUGGAGAUAUUUUGAGACCAGAAAAUUGCUAUGAUUGGGCUUACAGACUUCAAUUUCUUUUGGGCCUUAUCAUCUCGUUGGGUGGUAAGCGGUAACAAACGCUUCCAAGUAUCCGAGUUGCGAACUCCCUGGCGUCGAUCAUGCCCCCAUCGCUCUCUCCUCCCAAAAAUACACAGACAUGGCGGUCUCUCUCGUUCACCGGUAACCUCUCCGCUCUCGUCGCUUCCAUUUCCUCCUUUCCAAUUUUGACCUCUGCGAUUCUAGUUAUGUUCGUCGUCAAACAGCUGAUCUCCAAAUUAUACAAAGUCGGAUUUUUAUUUCUUGUAAUUUUUCGUAAUUAUUUGUUUAAUUAGGUUUUAGUUAAGUUGCGAGCUCUUUGGUUGUACAAUGGAGGUGGAUUUAGUUGCAAGUGGCAUACAAGAGGAAGAAGCUUUUGGAGUUGAUGAGAAUGAUCACAAUGUAAGCUUCAAGUUCAAAUUUUUAAUUUUUUUAUUGAGCUGUUGCAAGUAGUUUUCAUGCAAUUGAAACUUUAUUCAUUUUUUUAAGAUUUUAGGCUCCUUUUCUGGAAAUUGGACGAAAUUUUCAUUUUUGGAAUUUCAAUUACUGAAUUUUCAUUGAGACAGUUGGAGCUAGUGUUAAUCGUGACCUGCUUGUUCGUGGGUUUAGAUACACAAGUUAAGUGUAGCUGCUUGGUUUCGUAUCUGUAAGAGAUUAACUUUUUUAUUUUACUGUCAUAAUGUGCAGGACAAUCCUAAUUUCGAGGGUGAAACAUGUGGGAUAUGCAUGAAUGCUAUUAUCGACAGGGGUGUUCUUGAUUGCUGCCAGCACUGGUAUGUGUUUUAGACUGUGGCUUUGUCUCUGUGGGUGAGAGAGAGAGAGAGAGAGAGAGAGAGAUUAGAAUUUUGUUUUAUGACAUGGGUUCAUCUUGUGGUUUUCCAGGUUCUGUUUCGCUUGCAUUGACAAUUGGGCUACCAUUACAAACCUCUGCCCGCUUUGCCAGAAUGAAUUCCAAAUGAUCACGUGUCUUCCAGUGAGUGGUGCAAAUAAAAAGUUUUCUUCUUUUUUCUUUGUUCUCAUCCUCGUUGUAUUGUUUUAGUAUUAUUUCCGUUAUGAACUUAUGCGUGAUAUGGAUAAUAGAAUUAUAUUAAUGUACAACUUUUUCAAAGCACAGUUGUUUUGAUUUCUAAACUGUCUGUUUUCGAUAGUGUUCUUUUUGUUGCAAUGGAAUUUUCUUUUUUUUUUGAAGUUUUCUUGAAUUAGUGAGUUGAUGCUGUUUCAAAGUGGUGCUAAAGCAUAUGAGUUUGAUUCAAUGUGAAGGUAUAUGAUACGAUUGGGAGCAACAAAGUGGACGAGGACUCAACUUAUAGGUACUUUGGUAAUUAAGGAUAAUACGUAUUUUGGUAAUUAAGGAUAAUGUGUUUAAGUAUACUGGUGAGGAUUUGUUCACAUUUUUAUGUGGCUUUGUCUCUUACACAUGGUUUUCUUUGGCUUACUACUCAUAUGUAGCGUUCAUAUGAAAUUUGAAUUCAAGGAUUGUGUUAUAGAAUUUGCAACCAAGACAUUUGUUUUGUGAACAAGCUUCAACAGAGACUAAUUUUUCAAUAUUCAUCUGUGCAGUGAUGAUGACUGGAGUAUUGAAGGGAAGAAUAACACACUCUCAUUUCCAUCGUACUACAUUGAUGAAAAUGUAAUUAUCCUUGCAUGUAUUCUUUUUAAACUAUUCUUGCAAUCCUCAUAAUUUCUUUCAAAGGUUUUUUUGUUAAACUUAGUGACCACUCACACCAUUGUUUCCAAGAAGAUUGUACGUCUUACACUUGUGGUUUUUUGUUCUAAAUUUGUUUUCCUUAAACGAUUCUACAUGUGAAUCCCAUGAGUCAGGACCCAUGAGUUAUGAAUUUUAGUUCGUUCCCCGGGUUUCUUACGAGCCAUGCAUCAAUAUCUUUUGAAGACCCAGUGCUUUGGUCUUACAACUGAGAUGUGGUGUUGUGCUUAUAAGCAUCAUUAGGGAAAUAUGUAGCCGUUCCCAUUACAUCAAGAUGCAUCCGAGAGGAAUUGAAUUAGUACUUUAUACAGGAUAUAUGCUUUCUUAUACAGGAGUGUUAUGUGCUCCAUGAAAAAUAAUCAAAUAACAAAAGCAAAAAAGACGAGUUUGGAGGUUAAUGUGGCUCUAAACUAAAGUAAUGGUUAAAACUAAGGCUAAUGCUAGGUGUUGAAAAAGACUUUUCAAGUCAUUCUCAUUUAGAUCCGAUUCAGAAACCCCCGUUGUUUCCUUUUCUUCCCAAGGCUGUAUGUCUUUAUUUUGUCUUCACGUUUACCUUUCAACAUUUGAUCAGAUGAUAUCACAUUCUUUUGUUACUUUAUCAUUUUCUAGGCAGUUUCCUGCUUGGAUGGAGAUGGCUGCAAAAUUCGAAGUGGAUCAGUGGCUAUUGAGGGAGAUUCCAAUCUCGAUACAUCAAUUGCUUGUGAUUCAUGUGACUUAUGGUAAAGAAUCAAGCAAUGUGAUACAUUAACUCUUUCCAAACUGAUAAAUGAUUUUGUAAAAAUAUUGUUUUCUAGUUGCUUUUUGACGUGACUUGAGACAGGUACCAUGCUUUCUGUGUGGGAUUUGAUCCGGAGGGCACAUCUGAGAGUACAUGGUUAUGCCCCAGGUAAGUUACAUGGUGAUCAUUCCUUUGUUCAUGGGUGUUGCACUGUUGCUCCUUUGCCAAGUCUAGUCCGUGGCUUUUCCUUAUAGCUUCAGUUUCAUUAAAUUAUCAAUAACAACUUGUCAUGCAUGUGCCAAGCGUUGGUGAUAAUUAAAAUCAAUGUUAAUGGAGAUAAUUAGGUUGUGGGUCCUUUCUAUGGGGGUUUUGUUUUUGUUGUGGAGAUCCCUAUCUUGAGUUGUCAACCAAUUAGAUUAAACAUUCAAAUCAGGUAAUGAUACCAUCUCAUUUGUGACUCUGGGACAAAGAGAAUCAUUUAUGUUUACAAUUGCUGCCAAGUAACAAUCCCUCUAGGCUUGGACUGAUUAGUGAGCUUUGGUUAUCUUUAUUUUUGUACUCAAGAUUUAGGCAUAAUGGAUUACAAAUUUCUCUUUUUUCCUAAAAUUCCUAGGUCUCCUCUUUUCAUCUAUCUUGUCAUACUGAUUUUUUUUUAUUAUGGUUUUUUUUUUUUUCAUUCUGUAGAUGUGUAGCUGAUGAAAUGACAAAAAAAUCAGAUGCAGAUUCAGUACAGAGGUCUAACAGACAGUAUGGUCCAGAAAAUGCUAAUGGUAAACCUGUAGCUGAGGAUAAUCUUUCUAGAAAGGUAUCUGUAUCUGUUGCUGAUAGUGGUGAGACGGCUAUUGUGGUCUCAAUGGUUGGAGAAAAUCAUUGGUUUGGAGGACCAAGUGAGAGUGUUUUGCCAACUGGUGAAGUUGGAAAGGACCCGGAAACUAAAGAAUUGGUAUUGUCUUCUGACAAUAUCCACAAAUUGAGAAAACCUUCCCCAGAAAAAACUAUUAACCAACCAGUUAUUGUAGCUCAGCAACUAAAACUGUCCCUUUCCAGCGAUACCUCUGGUUUACCUUCAAAUUCUUUAGCACAAAAGCCUAGUAGUUUUGAUGGCAUCAUGAAUCCUUCCGGAAGGUCCUUUGAUGAAUCACAGAGUGAUAACAAACAGUCUGACAGUGACUCCAAUAUGGGUCUUCAUCUUGGGUUGUCUGUGGGCACGUUUUUGUCUGGUAAUUUACAUAUUUUUCCUUUUUUGAGCCACCUCUAUUUCAUGUUAGGAUAGUAUAUAACUGAAGUUUUCAUAUGCUUAUUGUUGAAAUGUUUCUUGUUUAUGGGUCUUCAUACGUUUUUGUCUGGUGGUUUACAACGGUAACUCAUGUACCAUUUAUUUAUUGUUGAAAUGUUUCUAGCUGACACUCUCGUACCAAAAGAAGUGAUUGAGGAUGUGAAGCAGCAUGAUCCUUGGGAAGGAUAUUCACCAAUAGGUAUAUUGAGGCAUUAUUUACUGUGUUUAAUUUUUCUUGGAAGCGGAACCAAACAAAUUUAAAAAAUUAAAUUGUUUAUUCACCAGUCACUCAUGCGCUUUGCUUAAUUAUGGAAAUGUUUUCAGCUGAUGAGAUUGUACCGGAUACUAGUUUGGAUUCCCCUGGAUCGACUGCUGGUGGAAAGAGAAAGCGAAUUGAUUGCAGGUCACUUGUCAUUCUUAUAUGGUUUUCAGCAAUUAGUGCUAGCUAUGUAACCUCAGGUUUUGUUACUGCUAUCCUCAUUCAUAUUAUGCCACCAUCAGUUGUGUAAUUGUCGGCAUAGUAUUCCUAAAUUAUGUUGGAUGUAUUUUUUUUCUACUACCCUCAACUCUGCAUGUCACCAGUGUUUCUUACAUUAUGUUGGAUGUUUUGUGCUUCCAUUAUCCAUAGUAGUCCUUGAUUCAUUCAGCUGGCAUGUUUCUCGUGUAUUAGAUUUUGGGUUCAUAGGGCUUAUCUCUUUUUCUUGUCUUUUGGUUUCCAGUAAGGUGGUAACUAUAUUUCUAAGUCCAUUGUAUUAUGGUAGUUUGUAGAUUAAACCAAACCAGCAUGUUUUUGUUGCAAUUAUUGUCUUAUAACUUAUUCACAUUAAAAAUACGUGCAUGCAACACAAAUUUUCAAUUUCUGCUUCCUCUUUAUAGAUUUCCUCAAAAGCUCUCUUUUAUUUCCCUUUGAUGCAAUACAAGCUCAUCACCAAAAUAUCAAAAAGCAUUAAGAAAAUGUUGGCAGAAGUCAAUUCAACUGGUUGAACAAAAAUGCAGGUUAAUUUAAGUGGUUUCACUAUCCUCACACUUGUAUCUUAGCCUUCUUCUAUUUUUAUUGUCAUUUUCUUGAAAAAAUUGUAUUUCAAAUGUCGAUUUGCUUGCUUCACAUGCUUCGUAGCAAGUAGAACAAGGGUUCUGACUUUAUUUUACCUUGACUUUUUGAAAUAAUAGUGAUGACGUCCAUAUUGAUUAUGGUGGAGAUACUGACCCUGAGAUUGAGACCAAAGUUUCUGUUAAGAAACUCAGAAAGGAUGAGAAAACACAACCCACAGCUUCCAAUGACCAAGCCAGAAUCUGUUCCGGAUGACUCUCAAAACUGUUCUAUACUGACUGUAGCUCCUAAAGAUAGUACGUUAUCAUCUCCUCCUGUUGAGGGGAACACCACUUCCGAUAUAAUGAGCAUUGUUCGAACUACGAAGCGUAAAUCUUCUAAGGGGCUUGCAAGCUCUAAUCCUGCAGAUAAAUUAUCACAAGAACAAGAAACUAUGCCUGGUUUGAGAGUUAAAAAGAUCAUGAGGAGAGCCGCUGAGGACAAGGACUCGUCCGUGACAGUUCAGACACUGAGAAAAGAAAUAAGAGAAGCUGUUGGUAAAAUUUCUUCAAAAGGUAUUGGCGAAAACCUUUUCAAUCCAAAGCUUCUUCAUGCCUUUAGGACUGCUGUAGCAGGACCUCAAACUGAACCUGUUAAGAAGGUACCAGAUUUGGCACUGAAGGCAAGGAAGACAAUGUUGCAGAAGGGAAAAGUACGUGAGAAUCUAACAAAGAAGAUUUAUGGGACAUCAAAUGGAAGAAGAAAACAUGCAUGGGACCGGGACUGGCAAAUUGAAUUUUGGAAGCACCGCUGCAUAGGAACUACAGAGCCUGAAAAGAUUGAGACUUUGAAGUCCGUCCUUAACCUUCUGAAAGAGAGGUCAGAGCGUGCAGAUACAGAGCAGGAGUCCGAUAAGCAGUCCACAAAUCCAAUUCUUUCCAGGUUGUAUUUAGCAGAUGUAUCUGUACUCCCAAGAAAAGAUGAUAUUAAGCCUCUCUUAGCUCUUAAAACUGCUGGUAAUUCAGAGCAGAAUGGUAAACAGCUUACCUUGAAGGACAAUUGUUCCAAGUCAUCUCUUAAUGAUUCUACAUCAAAUUCCACAGAAACGAAUAAGGUUUCAUCAAAAGGCGGGGUUCCUUCAUUGGAGAAAUAUGGGAAUAAGAAUAAUGUUCCGAGCUCAGAGAAUGGUGCUGCACCUAACAAAGUACAUCAAGACAAACGCUUGGAAGGGUCCUUGGUUUCUUCAUCUGGUGCUUCCAAAUCCAAAACCACGAGUGAAGUGGUUGAUAAAACUGGAGAUGUAAAAACUGACAAAAGAAAAUGGGCUCUAGAGAUUCUUGCCAGGAAAAGUGGUGCAGGCACGAAGACGACAAAUGAAAAACAGGAAGACAACACACUCAAAGCAAAUUACCCUUUGCUAGUAUGUAACAGCUUUACUUUUAUAACCAUUCCUUUAUGCUGUUUGGCUCUGCAGAUUAUAUAAUAUAAUUUUGUGAUUGCUUUGAGCAGGCUCAAUUGCCGAUAGACAUGAGACCAGUUUUGGCAUCCAGUCGUCAUAAUAAGAUCCCCUUAUCAGUAAGGCAGGUAAAAAUUUCUGUGUAUGCUUCUAUUAACCAAGAUUGGUGCGUGUUAGAUAUUGAUAUAAUUAAAUCUCUUGUUAGGUUACUCUUUUAAGUUCUAUUUUGUAAUAAAAGGUUGGGAACACGAAAAGGGUGUUCUGCCUUCUGUUGGUCUUUGAAUGGAAAUAUUACAAAGGGGGAAAUCAUUUUGCCUUUCUUAUGAGGAAAUGGUAGAAAUGAACCUCUUUGGUGUAUUUAACACAAUACGUUGAAAUGAAGGAAAGCUUAUUUAUUGAUAUCCCCGAUAAGCUACAAAUAUGUACAUAUACAUGAGUCAAAAUAAACACACAAGAGGGAGCCUUCACAAAGGUUGCUUAGGAGAAGUCUCAGCAGUCGGUAGAGCCCCAGAAAGAGAAGGCACCGGAGGGGGAUCAUUUGGAGCCUCAGUACUGGACAGAACCCUAGAAGGAGGAGGCAUCAGAGGUUGAUCAUUCGGAGCUUCAUUACGCGGUACAGCCCCAGAAGACGAAGGCAAUAAAUGCCUUUGGAACAAACCCACAAAUCUCUGAUGAUCAAGUAAAACCUGACCAUCAGUUUCCUUCAUCUGGUCAAGCUUCCUCUUCAUGUUUGUAGCAUAGUCAUGUGCGAGCCGGUGCAACUGUUUAUUCUCAUGCUUGAGCCCCCUAAUCUCCUGUUUGAGACUCAUCACUUCAGCCGCCAAUGAUUCAACUUGGCGGGUUCGAGCAAAUAGGCGUUGGGCCAUAUUAGACACAGAACCUGCACACUGAACACUGAGAGCCAGCGAAUCCUUAACAGCUAACUCAUCAGACCGUUUGGAAAGUAGUCUGUUAUCUUUGGGAGUGAGAAGGUUCCUGGCCACCACCGCAGCGGUCAUAUCAUUCUUCAUCACGGAAUCCCCAACGGUAAGAGGACCAGUAGGGGAGACGAAGGAUGGGCGCCAUAUGUUGUCUGGAGAAGGCGGGGCUGCCUCUUCAACAAGGUUUAAGUCAAAACGACGGUCGGAGGGGCCAGACAUUUUCAAAGGUGUUGAAGAGAGAAGAGGUCGGACAAAUCAAGAUCUUAGAAGUGCAAGAAUGAAGCUUCUACUGGUGGAGAUUCAAGUGUGCUUUGGAACUUAAUGCCAGCCCCUAUAAAAAUCUGCACUCGACGGAGCUUCAGAAAUCGAAGAGGCGCCUGCUCAGAAAUCGAAGAGGCGUUUGCUUUCUCAAAAGCUGGGCUGCUUAGAGAUCACGAGGGUUGAUCUCAGAAAUCGAAGAGGCGUUUGCUUUCUCAAAAGUUGGGCUGCUCAAAGACCACGAAGGCCGAUCUCAGAAAUCGAAGAGGCGCUCGCUUUUCUCAAAAGCUGGGCUCCCCAGAGACCACGAGGGCUGAUCUCAGAAAUCGAAGAGGCACCUACUUUUCCAGCCUUGUCAGCACCUGUCACACGCACACUCAGCUUUGCGGAAAUUAUGGGCAUUUUGUCGAAGACUUCUGGGGAAGUAGAAAACACAUGAAUCUUACUGUUCAAUCACCCACUUCCCACACGCAACAAUAGCUCAUGGAUACCACAGAUAACUUUGCCAAAGUUCUCUGCCAAAGUUGAGCACGUGAAGCUUGCAGCUCCCACUACAUCGCUCUGACCAAGAAGGGUAAAAGAAUAGCAAAGAAACAACACUAACAAAGUUUAGACCCAUAAAUUUUGAAGGUCUAGCUACCAUAUUAUUACCCACAAGGGUAAAGGAACAGUACCACUGCUGGAUAAUUGGAAAGUCCCUGUGUGUCAACCUCUGUGCUUCGUGGCAAGGUAGACUAGCAAACAUGCCCAACCUUUACUCACAUUCGAGAAAACACUCCCAAUAAGAUUGCUUGCUCCAAAAUCGAAGAGGCACCGUCCUCCAAAUCUCGAGAGCCAGACUCCCAACAUGACUACUUUCUUGAAAAUCGAAGAGAGGGUAAAGGAACAGUACCAUUGCUGGAUAAUUGGAAAGUCCCUGUGUGUCAACCUCUGUGCUUCGUGGCAAGGUAGACUAGCAAACAUGCCCAACCUUUACUCACAUUCGAAAAAACACUCCCAACAAGAUUGCUUGCUCCAAAAUCGAAGAGGCACCGUCCUCCGAAUCUCGAGAGCCAGACUCCCAACAUGAUUACUUUCUCAAAAAUCGAAGAGACACUGCUCCCCGAAUCUUCGAGAGCCAGACCCCCAGCAUGAUUGCUUUCUCAAAAAUCGAUGAGGCAUCGUUCUCCGAAUCAAUCGAAGAGGCGCUCGCUUUCUCAAAAGCUGGGCUGCUCAGAGACCACGAGGGCCGAUCUCAGAAAUCGAAGAGGCACCUACUUUUCUAGCCUUGUCAGCACCCGUCACACGCAACAAUAGCUCAUGGGUACCACAGAUAACUUUGCCAAAGUUCUCUGCCAAAGUUGAGCACGUGAAGCUUGCAGCUCCCACUACAUCGCUCUGACCAAGAAAGGUAAAAGAAUAGCAAAGAAACAGCACUAACAAAGUUUAGACACAUAAAUUUUGAAGGUCUAGCUACCAUAUUAUUACCCAUAAGGGUAAAGGAACAGUACCACUGCUGGAUAAUUGGAAAGUCCCUGUGUGUCAACCUCUGUGCUUCGUGGCAAGGUAGACUAGCAAACAUGCCCAACCUUUACUCACAUUCGAGAAAAACACUCCCAACAAGAUUGCUUGCUCCAAAAUCGAAGAGGCACCGUCCUCCGAAUCUCGAGAGCCAGACUCCCAACAUGACUACUUUCUCAAAAGCGAAGAGAGGGUAAAGGAACAGUACCAUUGCUGGAUAAUUGGAAAGUCCCUGUGUGUCAACCUUUGUGCUUCGUGGCAAGGUAGACUAGCAAACAUGCCCAACCUGUACUCACAUUUGAGACAACACUCCCAACAGGAUUGCUUGCUCCAAAAUCGAAGAGGCACCGCCCUCCGAAUCUCAAGAGCCAGACUCCCAACAUGAUUACUUCCUCAAAAAUCGAAGAGACACUGCUCUCCGAAUCUCGAGAGCCAGACCCCCAGCAUGAUUGCUUUCUCAAAAAUCGAAAAGGCAUCGUUUUCCGAAUCUCGAGAGCCAGAUACCACAGACCACUUUUUCAAAGUGCUCUGACAGAGUUAAAACAUGUGAAACUGGCAGCUCCCACUACCGUGCUAUGACCAAGCAGGGUAAAGGAAUAGCAUUACUACUUGUUGUUAGGGAGACUCCUAUAUAUGUCGACCUCCAUCCCCAACGGACAGGCAGACCUGCAAAAAUGCUCAACCCUUCAUCAUAUCUGAGAGGGCACUCCCAACGAAGCCUUUCGAAAUAUUCAGCUUUCUUUCCCCCCGAUAAUACCUCUGCAAACAAGCUAUACUAGAGCAAGAAUAUCUCAUAUCAUCAGGGUUAAAAGCAAGAGUAUCCCAUAUCAUGCUUUUUCCCUGUCUUUCCCUUUGGCCUUGUUUUUACCUGCAAGACAAGGAGAAAGAGCAAUCAGUCAGCACUUGGAAUCAGGCUUCUAGCCAGGAACUGACUGCCUGGAACCCCUUACCUGAUUACUUACCUGGCAUUGCUCUCGAGUACUCAUCUUCAACAUGUUAUGUUUCCAGGGAAGAUUCCGCAUCUGCUUGAGGAACAGAUAGGGCAAGUGCGAAGGAUACAAGGAAGCAUGUGGAGACAAGCGUAACAGCACACGUGCCGAUACAUCCAUUACUCUGUCAAAAGCAAAAGUAUCCCAUAUCAGCAGGGUGGAACGUACUCUAGAUUUGAUGGACUUGUUUUGACCCUCAAAUUCUUCAGUCGGCCUUAUACUCUGGAGGAAACCAGAAAACCCUCCAGCUCAGUUCAAGAAUAAGCCUGUGGAAAGUUACUUCUUCAAAAGCAAAAGUAUCUCAUAUCAUCUCUUCUCAUUUUUUCUUCUCUUUAUCCUUCAUGCUGCUGCAAGAUGGGGAGAAGGUGAACAAUCAGUCGGAGCUCUGAUUGCUUACCUUGUCUGUCACCUCUUUCAGCAGACCCCCUAGCUCGGCGACUUGGGGGACUCCUCCUACAUGGUUUGUAUCGCGCUUGACCAAGCCUGAAACUACAAGUAAGCUUCAAGUGAAAUUGAUAUACAUUACCUUGUGCAUCUCCACCAGUUAAAGAUACCACCCCUGGAUGGAGGAAGAGUACUUCCAGAGAAGAUGCCACAUCUACCUAUGAGACAGAUAAGGCAAGUCAAGACGACACCACACUCCGAUACUUAGAAGUUUCGUGAUUACGAGAUCAUUCUCCCACAAUAUUUCCUAAUGUCAUUUGUACUAAAUCAUUCACUUGUACUCACUAAAGGAGAGCUUGAACCUAUGUACUUGUGUAAACCCUUCACCAUUAAUGAGAAUUCUUCUAUUCCGUGGACGUAGCCAAUCUGGGUGAACCACGUACAUCUUGUGUUUGCUUUCCUAUCUCUAUCCAUUUAUAUACUUAUCCACACUAAUGACCGGAGCAAUCUAGCGAAGAUCACAAAAAAGCAACCGUUUUCGCUACCUAGGAUCUAUCUUGCAAGAGAACGGAGAAUUAGAUGGAGAUCUCAACCAUAGAAUACGAGCUGGAUGGAUGAAGUGUAAGAGUGCAUCCGGCGUGUUGUGUGACCAUCGUAGGCCACUGAAGCUCAAGAGAAAAUUUUAUAGGACGGCAAUAAGGCCAGCGAUGUUGUAUGGCACAGAAUGUUGGGCGGUGAAGCAUCAACACGUACACAAAAUGGGUGUAGCGGAGAUGAGGAUGCUUCGUGGGAUGUGUGGGCACACGAGAAAGGAUAAGAUUGGGAAUGAGGAUAUCCGAGGUAAAGUAGGAGUAGCCGAAAUUGUAGGAAAGAUGAGAGAAAAUCGGCUCCGGUGAUUUGGACAUGUGCAAAGAAGGCCGACUGACGCUCCGGUUCGAAGAUGUGACUACGGGACAGAGGUUCAGGGCCGAAGGGGUAGAGGAAGACCUAGGAAAACUUUGGAAGAGACUCUAAGAAAAGACUUAGAGUACUUGGAUCUAACGGAGGACAUGACACAAAACCGAGCGCAAUGGCGUUCUAGGAUUCAUAUAGCCGACCCCACUUAGUGGGAAAAGGCUUUGUUGUUGUUGUUGUUGUUGUUGCAUGACGAAUGAUUCAUUAAACAAACAUAUGCUAGGCAUACAACUGCUUCCACCGCCAUCUCAAUCAAACCACCACGAAGUCAUUACCAUCGUUUCAACUGUUUACUACCACCACUCCGAUGAGAGCAUUAACAUGAGUUUCUUAGGAUAUGUUGGUACGAAUUAAAAAAAAAUCUUUUUAGCCCCAUUUAUUUGUUUAAUUUCAUGAAACUGGAGGCUAAUUGGUGGUUUGGACUUGUUAAUCAUCUGCCUUGCAGACACAGCUGUAUCGUCUGACUGAGCACUUCUUGAAGAAAGCAAAUCUGCCGGUGAUCCGUAGAACUGCGGAUACGGAGUUAGCUGUUGCAGAUGCAAUUAAUAUAGAAAAGGGGGUUGCUGAUAGGUCAAGCAGCAAGCUAGUGUAUACGAAUCUAUGUUCCCAAGAGAUAUUGCGUCGUUCAGAAAAUAGGAAAUCUAGUGCGGGUGCAGCCCCAAUACAUAGUUCAUCCCCAUCUUCAUUCCCCCCUGAUAGAGCAGAACAAGCUGCCAAUGAACUUUCAACUGAUCCUGUAAUUGAAGCAGCACUGAGAAAUGCUGGUCUUCUGUCCGAUUCUCCUCCAAAUAGUCCACAUCCCGAUAUGGAAGUUCCUGCUGAAGAAGAUGGCCCCGCAUCAGAUAUCAGAGAGGAAGGGCCUCAUAAUAUCUUUGAAAUAGAUUUUCAGCCUGAUCUGGACAUAUAUGGUGAUUUUGAGUAUAAUUUGGAAGAUGAAGACUACAUUGGUGCCGCUGCUGCAAAAGUAACUAAUCCACAACCAGACGAAGGGGCACCGAAAUUGAAAUUGGUGUUCUCUACACUUCAGCCUGAAAGAUCUAAUCAUAAUCUAGAUCUUGAGAAGCCUGAGACAACGGUUGCAGUGCGAAAAGAUUCUUCCAGCAUGCUCGAGAAUCAUACUUGUUCAGGUUUGAAAAACUCCAUCACGGAGGGUGGCACUGAUGAGACUAGCGUUCCCUUGGAAUCCUUAUUCGGCAAAGAAGGUGAAGAGCUCACUGUUGCAGAAUGUGAAGAAUUAUAUGGACCUGAUAAAGAACCGCUGAUAAAAAAAUUUCCAGAAGCAUCAGAAAAGCUAUCUGGAUUGAUUGACGAAGCUUUGGUUAAAGAUAAAGGUUCUGAAGAGAAUGAAGAUUGUGUGCCAAAGCCAAACCAAGCAGUAAAAACAAAUGAAUUGGGUAAGGGGAACAAUGCGCAAAAUAUGCUUGUUGCCAGUGUUGGUUGCAACUCCUCUGCUGGAGAAGAUUCAGUGAACCAUCCACAGCCAGGUGGAAAUGUUGAAACUAAGGAGAAGAAAUCGAGUACGGAGUGCAACAAUCAGUCUAAUAGCAACAGUACCGUGUCUAAGAAGGUUUUUCCCAGCCAUUUUUCCCUAAAACUUAUACUUACCUUUAGAUUGCUCCUUUGGUUCUGUAAAUCCGCAUGAAAGGAUUUUUCUGUUCAUGAACUUAACGUAAUUGAAUUAGGAGAGUUUCUUCUCCAAUACGUCAUCUUGGCUGACUUGUUUCCAAUCCUUCACAGGUGGAAGCCUACAUUAAGGAGCACAUCAGACCACUAUGCAAGAGUGGCGUUAUUACGGCUGAACAGUAUAAGUGGGCUGUGGCGAAAACAACUGAUAAGGUUAUGAAAUACCAUUCUAAAUCCAAGAAUGCAAAUUUCCUGAUCAAGGAAGGUGAGAAGGUGAAGAAACUCGCCGAGCAGUAUGUUGAGACAGCCCGACAGAAGGAAGAAGCCGAUCCUCUGUAACGAAAGUCAUUUUCAGCUGCUCUCAAAUUAUUCACUUAUUCAGAACCUCCACUGAUCUGUAAAUAGUUUCGAGAGACCUUAUAUAAGCACCCCGAACCCCAAACAUUGUAUAAGUUGAUGAAGGAACCUGUGUCCGGGCGCUUAUGAUAUGUUCAGGUGAGUUUUCCUGCGUGAGCUUUUGGAUCAUAUACAAGAAUUGCAUCAGUUAUUAAAUGACUCUUGAAGCAAAUAAGAAUCAUGUCGUUAAACAUGGUAUUACGGCCCUCUCCACUUGUGUUCUCAGUUCGACUUGCUUGGUUGGGGGUUUAUUAUCAUUGUUGGUUCAUUGUGUGAAUCAAUCUAGAUUCUCAACCCGUUAAAUAAAAUAUCGUUGUAUAAAAGAAUAAAAGAUAAUUUAGCCAAAAAUCAAUAAAAACUUUACUAUUUAAAUAUAUCGAUGACAUCUUUUUGGUUUGGACUUAAUCAAUGAUAUAUUUUUAUUAAUUUGGCCUAGAUCAAUGAUAAAUGUCACAUGGGUUUUAAGUGAUUAUAAAUACUUAGAAUUUGACUUUUCUAUCCGUAUUUCGUUAUCUCUAUUUAUAUUUUAACACACGUUAUGUCCAACCAACACUUAACUAUCUCCUAUUCACUAUCUCUUCUCUCUCUCUCUCUCUCUCUUUCUCUCUCUCUCUCUCUCUCACAGUUUUUGAAUUCAUAGAACAUGAAACAAACACUUCAACGCAGUGUCGGAAUCACAUAAACUUUCUGAUAUCAAAGUACAAUCACAAAACAUGAAACAGACACUGCAACACAAUGUUUGAAUCCACAUAAACUAUUUGAAUAUCAAUACACAAUCACAGAAUAUGAAACAAACACUGUAACGCAAUGUCUGAAUCUACAUAACAGGAAAUAGACAUUGCAACGCAGUGUUGGAAUCCCAUAAACUUUUGAAUAUCAAAGUACAAUCGCAGAACAAGAAACAAACGCUGCAACGUAGUGUCUGAAUCCAUGAAAACUAUUUGAAUAUCAAUGCACAAGCACAGAACAUGAGACAAACACUGCAACUAAGUGUCUGAAUCCACAGAACAAGAAAUACAGACAUUGCGUUACAAUUGGUGGCUGUCACGUGCUCUUUUGAAUAUCAAUGUACAAUCAUAGAACAGGAAACAGGCACUGCAACACAGUGUCUGAAUUCACAAAACAUUUUGAAUAUCAAUAUACAAUCGUAGAACAGAAAACAGACACUGCGUUGCAAUGUCUGAAUCCACAAAACUUAGAAUUUGAAAUGGAGUACAUAACCUAAGAAAAAUAGCACGAUGAGUGGGGAUUAGACUAAACAAUAUAACAACCAUGAAUAAACAUACAUAAAGCCAACACAUAUAUCCAAACAGACUAAAUCUGUGAUAUGCCCAAACCAAUUUUAACAUCCAAAAUUCAAAACCUAAAAAAGUGUAGUGUGCAAAAUUACAGCAAAUUUCUCAAAAACACAACUCAAAUAACCUAAAACAUAAGAAUUGAAGAACAAGAAGAAAAUAGGAAGAAAAAAAAAAAACUUGAUCGUGAUUUCUUUGGUGCAAGUGCAAAUCAUUCGUCGGAAUCAGGGCUAAAGUAUGAAAUUGUUUUGAGCGGCACAAAGUUAACAAGGCAGGUGUUGUGAGGCCAAAAAAUGGAGGUUGAAGGUGGUGGGAGGCGAUGGAGGUUGAAGUCUGAGAGCGUUUUAUGGUUGCAAGGCGAUGGAGGUUGAAGUCUGAGAGUGUUUUGCACGGUUUACAAUGAGGGAGUUGGAGAAGUUAGGUGUUUUAAAUGACAAUGGCAUGAAUUGUAAUUUUUAUUUAAUUGAGGUGUUUUAAUGAGCUCGAGUUCCCUCCGACUGUGGGGGUUUUUCUCUUUGGUUGUGAGAGAGUUGUAACAUCUAGCUUCAAUUUCUCACCCUCUCUUCCGUCUUUUCCACGCCUUUCAACAGUUUUUCCCUCCGAUCACCGUUUUGAGAGUCGAUGGCUGGGGAUUUUUCUUUUUACUUUCUACUUUCCUUUCUCAUUCUAGUCCCCAUCUUGCAGCCACUUUCCCUCUGUUGAGGGUACUGCACAAAUUCAAAAUAAAGAACGAAGUUACCAAGAAAACAAAUAUUGUAGACUUCACUUUGGGUUGAAUCGCGAACAAUGUCGCUUUCUUUAAGACGUUUUGCGGCUCUGCCCAAGUUGUGCAAGCAGUCUAAAAUACUACAACGUCCCCAGGAUAAAACAGCCCAGAAAACACCUCUGUAUAGACCUUCCUUUACACUGAGGAAGAUCCAAAGCUUUCACCACUCUUAUAAUCAAAGUUCUUCUAGUUCUUCUUAGUUUUUCUCAAUGUGUUUUUACGUAGCAGAAAACCCUAGUAUUUAUACACAAUUGCAAGACUUUAACGUUGAAGUAGUUGAGCUGAUCAUGCCCAAGAAAUCAGGCCAUAAAACAAGGGAGUAAAACCACUUUGUUGAGAAAGAAUAGGUCUCCCAAAUCAAAAUAAAAUCUUGCAGUUUAAGAAAAGAUUUUUUCCAUAAAAAUAGGAAACCAAAGUUAAUCAGAAAACUAACUCUAAUAAUUUUAAAUAAACAUAAAAUCCCAACAAUCCCCCACUUGGUUAUUUAAAGUUUGCUCUUUGAGUAUAUCAUCAUAGAGUUGUGCAUAAAUAAUGGUGUUAUGUAACUUGAACCAUUACAUAGUGCCUAAGCUUCAGACCAACAUGACUAACACUUAGUUUUGAACUCAAACUCUGACAACAAAGCACACACAGCCCUUCUUGGGUGAAGCUCAAAGUCAGCACGAUCCGGCCAUGUGCUUGUAUCCCAGUUUAGUGACGGUGCUAAAAGUUAGCCCCACAACUUCAUAGUAGGCGACCUCACCUUCACUGUCACAAAGGUGAAACUAUCACAGAUACUCCUGUAACUAGGUAUCUCACUCCACUAAAGUAAAGUUUUCAUUAAGAGUAUUAUAACUCAUCAUUCACAUAUGUUACAGGAUUGCAUGUAUCCAUUCAAGUUUAACGACAACUUCUGCAAGAAGUAUAGCAUGAAUCCAUAUCACUCCAUGACUUGUUAUUAUCUAUUGAACCAAUUUCUUGGGAUCUCCAGUCCAAAGGUUAGGUUACCAUCACAAGUGACUCAACUUAACAAAGGGCUUUAACUCCAUUCCAUUAGAGGUUUUCCAAACUUUCUCUCGUGCUAAUCCUUUCGUCAAAGGAUCAGCUAGGUUAUCUUUAUACCUUACAUGGUAUAAUUUGACAGUUCCUGUGGAAAGAAACCCUCUCAUUGUGCUAUGCUUUCGACGAAUUUGUCGGCUCUUCCCAUUAUAAUAUCGAUUUUCAACCUUAGCAAUUGCUGCUGUGUUAUCACAGUGAAUAAGCACUGCAGGCAAUGGUUUUUCCCAUAAAGGACUAUCAUACAGGAGAUCUCUCAAUCAUCAUGCUUCUUCACUAGCCGUUGCUAGUGCUAUUAUUUCAGAUUCCAUCGUUGAGCAAGAAUAGUCUGUUUCUUAGACUUCCACGAGACUGCAGUCCCAGCUAUGUUAAAAACAUAGCCACUGGUGGCUUUAGAGUCUUCUGAAAAUAUAUUCCAAUCAACGUCGCUAUAUCUUUCAAGGACAUCGGGUAACUUUUCAUAGCAUAGACCAAAGUUGAUGGUCCUCUUAAGGUAUCUCAUUACCCUUUUCAGUAGCACGCCAAUGCUCAACAUUUGGAUUGCUCGUGAACCUGCACAAAACCCCCACUGCAUAAGCUAUGUUUGGCCUAAUGCAAUCAGUUGCAUACCUUAGACAUCCGAUGAUGCUUGCAUAUUUAGUUUGUCUAACACUGUCUCCAGUGUUCUUGAAUAAUUUCACACUAGGAUCAUAUGGCGUACAUGCAGGCUUACAAUCAUAAUAACCAAUUUUUUUUCAGAAUUUUCUCUAUGUAAUGUGAUUGAUCUAAGGAAAACCCUUUCUCGGUUCUACUAACCUUAAUACCAAGAAUAACACUCGCAUUUCCUAAGUCCUUCAUGUCAAAAUUAACACAUAUAGUGACUUUACUUCAUUUACCACAUGAAUAUUAGAGCCAAAGAUAAGCAUGUCAUCAACAUAUAAGCAAAUAAUAGUGCACAAAUUAUUCACAGAUUUGACAUACAUGCAUUUAUCACUUUCAUUUAUUUUGAAACCAUUAUCUAUGAGUAAACUAUCAAAUUUAGCAUGCCCUUGUUUUGGUGCUUGUUUUAAGCCAUAAAGUGACUUGUCUAAUUUACAAACCUUAUGUUCUUGGCCAGUUAUUAUAAAGCCAUCAAGUUGGUCCAUAUAAAUCUCUUCCUCUAGUUCUCCAUUCAAAAAAGCAGUUUAACGUCCAUUUGAUGCACAACUAAAUCAAAUAACGAGGCUAAUACAAACAAAACACGUAUGGAAGUGAUUCUAGUGACUGGUGAGAAUGUAUCUAACAAAUCAACAUUCUCUCGUUGUCUAAACCCUUUAGCUACUAACCUGGCUUUAAACUUGUCCACAGUUCCAUCAGCUUUUAGCUUCCUCUUCAGUAUCCAUUUGCACCCAAUGGCCUUGCAUCUAGGGGGAAGAUCAACCAAAUGUCAGGUUCUAUUGGAUUCUAGUAAAUCCAUUUCAUCGUUUAUGGCUUCUUGCCAUGAAUCUGCAUCCAAAAAGAUCAAGGCUUCUUAGAGUGUUUUAGGAUCUUCUUCCAGUGUGUAAGUUUGGAAGUCAGUCCCAAAAUCCUUGGCCACUUUGGGCCUCUUACUCAUUCUUGGUUCAAAACUAGUUUCAACCGAAUCACUGAGGGCAUGGUUGCUCAUUCCAGACAAUCCCAAAUUAGUGGAGGUUGAACCCCCACUAUUGCUUAGCUUAAAAGGAAAUUUAUUUUCAAAAAAGUCAGCAUCAUUUGAUUCAAUAAUAACAUGACUUUUCAAGUCAUAGAACCUAUGUGCUUUACUAUUGGAUGCAUAGCCAAUAAAAACACAUUCAAAUGCCCUACUUGCUAACUUUGAUCUCUUAAUAUCAGGUUUUCAUACAUAUUCUAAACAGCCCCAUGUUCUUAAGUAGGACACAUUAGGUUUCUUAUUCUUCCAAAUUUCAUAUGGUGGAGUUUUUGUUUUUGAAGAAGGAACUCUAUUGAGAACAAAACAUACUGUUAAUAAGAUUUCCCCUCACCAAUAUGAGGCACUACCAUUAUUAAGAUGCACAUCCACAGUUAAUUCACAAAGUGUCCUAUUUUUCCUUUCAGCCUUACCAUUCAUCUGUGGAGUAUAAGUUGCAGUUGUUUCAUGUAUUAUACCUAGGUUUUUACAAUGCUCAUUGAAAUCCCUAGAUUCAUAUUCAAGUCCUCUAUCACUACGUAACCUUUUUAUUCUUUUAUUGAACUGAUUCUCUAUUUUAGCUAAGUACAUUUUGAACAUGUCAAAAGCUUCACUCUUAUUUUCAUCAGAUAAACAUAACAAUAAUUAGACUGAUCAUUUAUAAAGGUAAUGAAAUACCGUUUCCCAUUUCUAGUAAUUACCCCAUCAAAUUCACAUAUAUCAGUGUGGAUUAGUUUAAGUAACUCAAUUUCUCUAAUUAUUGAUUUGUGUAAAGCUCUAGUGACCUUAGCUUGACUACAAAAUUCACACUUUUCAAAAUUGCUUAGUGUGAGUUCAGGAAGUAGUCCUAGGUUACUCAUUUGUUUCACUAAUUUCGUAUUCACAUGACAAAGUCUAGUAUGCCAAACAUUAAAGGAACUAAACAUAUAGGCAGAAGUAACAUUUUUAUUCAUAACAUCAACAUUUAACUUAAACAUGCCAUCAGUAGCAUACCCCUUUUCCCACAAAGACACCAUUCUUUGUGAGAGUAUACAAAUCAGCCCUAAUAGUUUAAGUGAACCUAGCUUUGUUGACAAGGUAUCUAGAAACCAAAAUUUUCAUGAUUUCUGGAACAUGCAACACCUUUUUCAAUAUUACUGUUUUUUCUGAGGUGAACUUGAGCUCAACAUCCCCUACUCCAGCAACAUUAGUUGAGUGAGAGUCACCCAACAAAACCCUUAUGUCUUCAACCUUAGUGUAUGACUUAAAAAGCCCACGAUCAUAGCAGACAUGGCGUGUAGCACCUGUGUCUACCCACCACCCCUCGGAUCCAUCAACCAGACACCAUUACAAUGAGUUGACCCUUAGUAAGGUUGGCUUGAGGAGCAACUCUUCGUUUGUUGCGACAGUUGCGAGCAAGAUGUCCAGGUUUGUCAUAGUUGUAGCACAAAAAUGGCUUAACUGUUUCAUCUCUUGAGGGGGUAAUUUUCUGGUGUUGUUUCGAUAUGUGUUAUGUACCUUCAUAGGAUUUUUGUUACUAGAGUGAAUCUUAGUAGCAUUCUUUAGAUUCUUGCUGUUAGGUUUGAGGACAACAGUUGCAUGGUUCUUUGAGUGUGGUUUCUUGUUGGCAUUGGAGAUGACCAGAAAUUCCUCUUUCAUGUCUUGUUUCCUUGCCUCUUCCUCGAUUCGAAGACGCGUGUUCAAGCUUUCUAGAGAAAACUCCUUUGUCUUGUGUCGCAGAAGCUUCUUGAAUUCUUUCCAGCUUUGUGGUAGUUUGUCAAUGAUCACAGCAACCUGGAAUUGUUCAUCCAGGUUCAUUCCCUCAGACGCGAUCUCAUGGGCAAUCUUCUGCAACUCAUGUGAUUGGGUCUCCACAGGUUUGUCAUCCACCAUUUAGAACUUGAGAUAUUGGCUUACUGCAAACUUCUUUGCUUCAGCUUCUUCAGUAUCAUACUUAUUUUGGAGAGCAUCCUAAAGUUCCUUAGCAGAAUCACAAGAAGAAUAGUAAUCAUAGAGAUCAUCACAUAAGCCAUUUAAUAUGUAGUUUUUGCACAGAAAGUCAUUUUUAGCCCAGGUUUGAAACAAUUUAAAUUGUUCAGUAAUUGGAUGUUCAGGUAAUAGUGGCAUCUCAGAGGUGCAAUUUGAGGCAAUUUUCUUGGUGGUCAGGAAAAACAACAUAUUUUGCCUCCAACGUUUGAAGUGAAGUCCUUCAAACUUGGUGGGUUUGUUCAAAUCAGCGACAAAGGGAUUGAUUUCAGUGUCCAUGGCAGAUAAAAAUCAUUUUAAAACUGUUGAGGGUACUGCACAAAUUCAAAAUAAAGAACGAAGUUACUAGGAAAACAAAUAUUGCAUACUUCACUAUGGGUUGAGUCGUGGACAAUGUCGCUUUCUUUAAGAUGUUUUGUAGCUCUGCCCAAGUUGUGCAAGCAGUCUAAAAUACCACAAUGUCCCCAGGACAAAACAUCCUAGAAAACACCUCUGUAUAGACAUUCCUUUGCACUAAGGAAGAUCUAAAGCUUUCACUACUCUUAUACUCAAAGUUCUUCUAGUUUUUCUUAGUUUUUCUCAGUGUGUUUUUACAUAGCAGAAAACCCUAGUAAUUAUACACAAUUGCAAGACUUUAACGUUGAAGUAGUUAAGCUAAUCACGCCCAAGAAUUCAGGCCAUAAAACAAGGGAGUAAAACCACUUUGUUGAGAAAGAAUAGAUCUCCUAAAUCAAAAUAAAAUCUUGCAGUUUAAGAAAAGAUUUUUUUCCAUAAAAAUAGGAAACCAACGUUAAUAGAAAACUAACUCUAAUAAUUUUAAAUAAACAUAAAAUCCCAACACCCUCAACUACAGACCCUCUAUAUUUCCACCACCAACCUGCAGAUCCGUCCAUUUCAAUCAUUUUCUUCCAUACCAUCUUCCCUUAACCAAACAUUAGGUCUUGAAGUUUUGGGCUGCUUCUAUUUGAUGUGGAUUAAGAUUUUAUCAGCUGUUUUUACUUUUGGGACUAUUGCUUUUGAUGCCUUCUUGUAUCCGUUUACUGCUGGUGCCGUUCUUCGACCUUACCACAUUUAUGGAUUUCACAUCUGCGGUGGUGGGUUUAGUUUAAGGGUCAUGUUUGACCCAUCCCUUGAUCGAUUGAGGAUGACGCUGGUUGUUGACUCCUGUUGGAUGCUACAAUACCAUCCUAUCCAGAUCUACUAUUGAGGCUUUGGUCUCUUCUUUGAUGUUCGGGUUUCUGACAGCAGCGAUAGUAGGAAGGUUGUAGAAGUUGUUAGGGUUUUUGUGUGUUUUGAUUUUUUUUGUUGUGGGUACCAAUGUCUUUGGGCUCUUACUUUUGUUUAUAUGGAGGGUCCAACCCAAUGUCUUGUGCUUAUUUUUGUACUUCGGCCUUCUUUACUGUAAUCUUUUUUUGUUGGUAACGAAUUUACCUUUGACCAAAAAAAAAAACCUCAUUGACCUAUUUAUAAUUGAAAUAAAUUUGAUUGACAUAUUGUCAAUAUCAUAACAUUUAAUUGAUUUUAUAUAAAAUCACCCAAGAAUAAAAAAGAACUUGUAUAGAAAAAUUCCAUGUCCCUUCAUAAAACAGCGUCCUGGACUCUCUGGUUUUUAGUACAAAACAACACCAAAAUUUGCCAACGAGCUUCAAGCUUCAAGGUAAGAAAACGAAACGACGCCAAAAUUUGACACAAACAGACGGACAAGUGAGCAUUGAGAAUAAGAGCAAAGGGCUCCAGAUGCCACCAGCUGCAUAGAUUGGGUGCGCGCACCCCCUCCAUCUAGUUGCUGUUGUCCUUCCAAAUCCGGCCAGAGAUCCGAAGCUUGAGCUCCUUCCUGUCUCCACCCGAGAAAAACAGUGCCAUGUUAUGCUGGAUUAUGAGACCGUCAUGGUUAUUCCUGACCUUCUGAUGGCUGUCACGGAUGCUCCGAGGGGUUCCUUCCCAUAUUAGUUUCCUGCCGUUGUUGCCCACCUCCAGUCUGUAGCUGAAGCUUCGUGCCUCAGCUGCGUCGCCCAUGAAGCGAAGGAAUGCAAUGUAGACCGGAGCUAUGCCGAGGUGGAAGGCUUCAAAGUGCAGACAGAAGUACUUGUUGUAACAGUUAAACACCUAAUAAAACAUGAAGAACAUGGAAGGUGAGCAUCUAGGAAAACAAUCGCAUUGUUCUGGUUACCAAUUUACCAUAGAUUCCACGAAGUAGGGCCAACCUAUUUGGUUAAAGGCUUCGGGCUCGUUUGGGGAGGUUUUUCUUGGAAAUGUAUAUGCUCAUAAGUGCUUUUAUUAGAAGCAGAACAAAGUUCUUAGGGUCUGUUUGCAAUUGUUUUUGGAAUGGCCAUAAGUGCUUUAUGACAACUAAAAGCGCUUCUGGUUGCAUUGGCAGGGAAUUUUAAAAGUAUUUUGGGGUCAUAAAAAUGCUUUCUGGAGAAGCACUUGUCAGAUGUUUCCUCAAUAAACACUCACAAGUGCUUUUCUUCCUGCUCAAUUUUUUAUUGAAAAUUUCAACAUGCUUCUAACAACAUUUUUAGUAGAAGUAAUUCUACAAAAGCAAUCCUAAACGACAAAUCGCUUUUGGAAGUGCUUUUUUAAAGUACUUCUCCAUAAAGCAUCCACAAAAAAAAUUACUUUUAUAAUCCUUAUGAUUUUGCCAAACAUCUAAAAGCAGUGUCAAACGAGCCUUUCAAUAUCACUUACUCUAAACUACUCUAAAUUCAUUCUCAAUUUCAACAAAUCAAAAUUUAAACAACGAAACAACACUUACCAUUAGCAUCCUUGCUGCACACUCCACUUCGAGGCUAUUCGACUUAACAUAGAGGUGAUUAAACGUUGGCCCAAUGUGUAAGUCAACCUUGUGAUCUUCUCUCAGAUGGUCAACCAAAAAAGGAACAUCCCCAACCUCUGAGCACUCAUCACAUCCAGGAUAAGGGCAACUGUAUGGUCUGUAGUUGCAGUGAGCCUCAUGCCUGAGUUUGAUGUAGUAAGGGAAGAUCUCCAUGCACCCCAAAGAACAAUACUUGCUUGGAAGUUCUAGUGACUCUGCCACCUUCUCCAACGCCAGACAUCGAAUGUCUCCGAGUUUUUCUAGACACGCCGGGCACCGGUUCACUGUCAACUUGCAGAUUGAGCAAAGAAUGUGACCAUUAGGGCACUGCAGAACAGACUUUUGGGAUCAACUAGUUUUAAGUUCUAACACACGUAAUGUAAGUAGUCAAUCUGAAUGAAAGUAUAGUAGCUACUGAGUACUGAAGAUAAAACCUCACACCAGCAAGAAAGUGGGAAGCAAGGGGUGAAUAUCAGUAUUAGACCAAUUAAUAGUGGUUACUGGUCCAUCUUUGUGAAAUAUCUAACCUUGUGUUUUGAACGAGGGACUUUUAAAAAUAAUAGAGGGACCUUUAAAAAUAAUGGAGGGACUUGAAAAUAACCUAGAUCCAAAACAUUUGAGAGAACUUUCUAAUGACACCUAUCAAUGUGUCAUCUUGAAAGUCGUUUGUAGUGACACAUUGAGUAAUUCAUUGUGCACAUUUUGUAGUGUAUUUUGUAGUAUUUUAUGAUGGUUUUAUAGUGAUUGAGUAAUUCAUUAAUUGUCUUUGUAGUGCAUUAGGAAAUACCCUCAUCUAGAUUUGCAUUUCCUAAACCAAUCAAAACUCAUCAUAGCCACCAAAAUCAAUCAUAAUACUACCAAAAAAAAAAAAGGAAAUUUUGAAAAGUAAUCACACUUGACUCUUUAUAGACUUCUAACCACUUAUUUAGAUUCAGAAUUUUAACCACAUGCACUAGAAAGAUUCAACCGUUACUCUCAAGCAAAGCAAGUAUCUGAUGAUACGCUCGGGGAAGUCUUGAGUGGUUAGAUUUCUAAAUCCCAAGAAAAAAAAGGCUAAAAAUCUUCAAUGUGUUAAAUAUAUUUGACUAAUUUCCAACAAAAAAAAA
This 40878-nucleotide long non-coding RNA is filed under the name Malus domestica (apple). RNAcentral describes it as "long non-coding RNA (MDOM_LNC014146)". The record is from RNAcentral. Lineage: Eukaryota; Viridiplantae; Streptophyta; Magnoliopsida; Rosales; Rosaceae.